AUAAAUUUGAUCCAUCCCUGAAUGAACUGGAACUUUUCUUCAACUAAAGAUGUCACAUAUCUGUUUAAUUUCAGAACGGACAAUGUUUCCCAAACUGAGUUUUAGCACACAACAAGAUUACCUAAUCGUGUUAGUUCCUGUGAAGCUAAUGACACUAUUAGUUCACUUGAUUCACACAAAGUACAUGAGGCAUGUCUACAUUUCAUUUACAACAUACAGCUAUGGAAUGUGCCAGUCCCUUUGACAACUCACUUCACUAGCCUCCAUUUGCACCAUGUAGCACUGUGCACUUCCUAUAUUGAAACCCUCAACAAAACAAUUACCUAUUGUCAGAACUCUGUCCUUGUUUCACCAGGAAGAAUAUCUUGAUUGAUUGCACUUUUUCUUGGACCUUCAACAGCAUAACCAUUGAGAGAUAUUUCCAUCGGCAAAGUCGAGGAAAAAAAAAAGCUCUCCUCUGCACUGGCCAACUACAACUUUCCUAUUUACCUCCUCACAAAUGGUCGUGGGACCGAUCGUGUGGGGCCGCUGGGGUGGCGGAUUCCACCUUUCGCUACCAUUGAGAGAUAUUUCCAAGAUAUCAUUUUGAUGAAUCCUAUGUAAUCUUUAUCGCAUUAGAUGGUCUUCUGAGAUAUAAAUUUCCAAACUUUUCAGAAAAUAAAUUCAGCAGGAUAGUAGACCUUCCAAAUGAAGUGUCUUUGGACUGGGGGCUGGUAUUAAAUGGCACUGUGGUUCUGAAAGACUUGAGGAUACAGAUCAGGUACAAUAGCAUCCAAUUUCAACUACAUUCUAGAGAGAUGAUUGUUUGGGGAUGGAAUCCAGAUGGCAUAGUCAUGAUUAGGUCAGCCUACAAUGCACUUAUGGGAGCUGUGGCUAUUUGAGGAUGGAGUUCAGACGGCAUAUUCAUGGACUGGGUAACACGAGACUCAAAAAAGAAAGGGCAUAGAAAUGAGUGAUACAAACUGCACAUACUGCUACUGCAAUGAGGAGACUAUAGUUCACAUAUUUCAGAAAUGUAUCUAUACCAAGGAUAGAUGGUAUUGCAUUGCCUUUAAUACUGGAAUCAUUCUAGAGGAAUGCAUUCUAUCCUUCUCAAGCAACAGGAAAACAGUCAAAACACACCAGAGCCUCACUCCAUACUAGCUGUUAGGCAUGGGCUUGGUACAACAUGAUUUUCGGGCAAGCUUCCUGGCAAAGCCCUUCACUUUAUGUGGCUUCAGAGGUGCAAACUAUGGCUAGCAAGGAUCAGGGGAACAGGCAGCUAAAGGUUCAAUGGUACUGAAUCAAAUUGGAGCCCGAGUAAGAAACUGCACAUAUGAGGAACAAUUGCAUCCACGUACUUUUCAGCUCCCUAAUACUCUGCAACAGGAUUGCUCUGAGGGCCCAUCUGCUAAACAUUCUCGUCAUUCAGCAUUAAUUUUCCAUGGCAGUUUUAAUUCAUAUGGCAUGCCACUAUGAUCAGUUUUGAAUUUUCUAUGUGGAAAAAGAAACUCGGCUGCUGCGGUUGUGCCACAGGCAGUCACUUUGAAGAAUCAUGCAUGCAAGGCUAAGGGAGGAGGAGCACUUAUAAUCAUCAAUCAGCCGACUAGGAUUGCAAGAGAACCAGCCGAUUUCAACAACCAAGUCACAUUCCCAUUUUUUCCCUUUUCCAGCCCAAUUAUGUAGACUUGCACAAGAAGACACAAGAAGUUGUUCAUUAGCCAGCUGCGCUUCUUCCUCACUCACCAGACAAACGCCACACUGAAUUUGGAUGGUCGCUGUGGAUUCCUGACCUUGCACAAGUCUUCUUGUUUUUCUUUGCCACAAGUCUUAUAAACAGCUGCCAGCUAUUUGGACAGCAAAUGUAUAUCGAUGAUCCUCCAGCAGCCAACAUGCGUCCCUUUGCCGUCACACAGUAGGUGGAGCAGGGACGUCCAACUUGGCAUGCAACCAUUUGAUUUCUAUUGGCUGUGACUCGAGGAGAGAAAAAUUUGUCUUGGCUCUACAAUCAAAUCGCUCCACAAACAAAAGUUAUCUUGGGGAAAUCAUCGAUAUCAUUAUGAGAAUGGUUUGACAUUCUAAGAAGCGUUUCAUUACGAUGGAAUAGUCUUGCACAUCUUGCGACUCAUGGGAGCCCUCAUGAUAUUCUUAUUUAGAGUUGUUAGAAGUUGAUUUUUUUUUGAAGUCUUUCGAGUGUUAAUUUCUUCUUUAGGGUGAAGAAAAUAUUUAAAUUUGUAAUUUUUUUUAUGUAAUACCCAUCUGGACUGUUAGUGAUAACUGACAAAUUCAAGUUAUAA
Long non-coding RNA from Zingiber officinale, 2276 nucleotides. RefSeq lists it as uncharacterized. The record is from RefSeq and is a predicted model, not a curated record. The transcript has 3 exons. Lineage: Eukaryota; Viridiplantae; Streptophyta; Magnoliopsida; Zingiberales; Zingiberaceae.